Molecule: transfer RNA, 72 nt
Filed under: Candidatus Aenigmatarchaeota archaeon
Lineage: Archaea; Nanobdellati; Candidatus Aenigmatarchaeota
Description: tRNA-Val
Rfam family: tRNA
About the family: Transfer RNA (tRNA) molecules are approximately 80 nucleotides in length.
Source: RNAcentral
GGGCCAGUGGUCUACCGGUAUGACGCCGCCCUUACAAGGCGGAUAUAGUAGGUUCGAUUCCUACCUGGCCCA